UAUGUAGUAAUAUGGGGAUGG
RNAcentral lists this non-coding RNA (21 nucleotides) under Caenorhabditis elegans. Lineage: Eukaryota; Metazoa; Nematoda; Chromadorea; Rhabditida; Rhabditidae. The record is from RNAcentral.